Molecule: long non-coding RNA, 459 nt
Filed under: Vulpes vulpes (red fox)
Lineage: Eukaryota; Metazoa; Chordata; Mammalia; Carnivora; Canidae
Description: lncRNA (ENSVVUG00000018847.1)
Source: RNAcentral
UGCCCUGGCAACAACUGGUCACCUAGGGACUCCACAACAAGCUGGCUCCCAAACCCCCUAGAAGCUCAUUUGGAGGUUGGCUGCCGUCUCUGUCAAUAACUAAUCAGUUCUUUGUGAGUCUCAUCUAAUUCCUCAACCCAGCUGGUCCCGUGUACAAGGAACUGAACACCCUUGGGAAGAUGGAAAGCAUGACAGUGCUUCCAUGAAAUUCAGUGUCUUCAUGAAAUCUCAGGUAAUGAUUAGAAAUAGUUACCAUAUAUCAUCUCACACCAGUCAGAAUGACCAAACUGAACAACAAUAAAGAGGAAACAAUGAAUGUUGGUGGGGAUGUGGAGAAAAGGGAACCCUCUUGCACCGUUGGUUGAAUGCAAAGUGGCAUAGACGCUCUGGAAAACAAUAUGGAGGCUCCUCAAGAGGUUAAACAUAGAGCUACCCUACAAACUAGCCAUUGCACUACUA